This is an RNA transcript of Spodoptera frugiperda (fall armyworm), 1292 nucleotides long. RefSeq lists it as uncharacterized. NCBI's taxonomy places the organism in Eukaryota, Metazoa, Arthropoda, Insecta, Lepidoptera, Noctuidae. The transcript is spliced from 4 exons. The record is from RefSeq and is a predicted model, not a curated record.
UAUUAUGUAUGUUUGGCGGCCAAACGAUCAUGUUGGAGACUACGGCCCUGAGUACGGAGAAAGUUUCUGUAACUACACGAAGUAUCUGAAACAUGUGGAGGGAAGGCUGCGAUACCAUUUUGCUGAUGUAUUCAUAGAAUUCCUCACCUCAUUUGGGUUGUUCACAUUGCCGAAUUAUCAAGACUCUGAAAUAAAAAAAGAAAUGAUGGGUAUUCGAAGUGGUGUUGCUGAACAGCUGGGCGUGAAGGUAAACGGAGCUGCUCUAUUUGGAGAGAGGAUGAUAACAUUUGCCGACGACUUGAACUACAAAGUAUUCGAAAGAAUCACAGAAAAUGAUGUGAACAAUACAAGUGUGGAGUUCCUCAAGGGAGCUGAUAUAUUCCCUAUUGUAAUUGUGGGAAUGAUGUUUUUUGGUGAAGGCGGAAUCUGAAACUGUUGCUCUUAAAGUUCCUCGUAAAGCGAUCCUUACCAUCGCCAUCGUCAUCGUCAUCAUCAGCCAAAAGACAUCCACCGAUGGAGACAGACCUCUCCAAUGACGACAACCAGCAAGGCGAUGAUACAACCUCAAGAUAAAUUAUUAUAGUUAUCAGCUUACUCACGCAACUGUUUGACGAGGAACUCGACUAGUUUCAAGCCAUGCUAGAGGCUCAUAUUACAUAAUUAAUUUAGUAUGUCUCACGAAAGUUACAAUAAAACGACAAAUGUUAGUAAAGCAAGUAAAUUAUAUUAGUACAUUAUAAACUGCGAACUGCCUAGCUGGUUACCGGGGCUCCGGCUCGAAAAGCAGAAGUAGGAACAAUAAUAGAUAAAACAAAUCAAAGUUGUGGGAGCAAAUACGACAUUUCUACGUAUAAAAUGUACCUGAAAGUGACGUCACACGAUGUUCCAAAUAGAUAUAAUAUUUUUUUCCAUAAGAAAAUAAAAAAUACGUGUAUAAUGUUUUAAAAUUAUCUACAAGACGGACAUUAAAAUAAAAAUUAGUCAUCUACUCUAUUAUUGAGUUUGGGAUAAAAAGAAAAACCAAAAAAAUUACCAAAAAAAGUAAGCGUAAACUAUAAGGUAAGCUUAUGGUAUGAUAAUUAAUUUUAACAAAUGACAAAACAACAUUUUUAGUAAACUAAUAUCAGAACUUAAGACGGGAUAUUUACCAUGUUUAUUUAUGCCGAAAUAUCGGAAACUCAUAGACAUAAAUAAACAUAAUAAAUAUCCUGUCUUAGAUCUAUAUUAUAUUAGAUCAAUAUUAUACAAUAAGUAAUUAAAUUUUUAAUAAUCAUAUUGUUAUACAAUAAUAA